UUACGGGAGGCAGCAGUGGGGAAUUGUUCGCAAUGGGCGCAAGCCUGACGACGCAACGCCGCGUGGAGGAUGAAGAUCUUCGGGUCGUAAACUCCUUUCGAUCGAGACGAACGGCCCUGGGGUGAAUAAUCCCGGGGAGUGACGGUACCGAGAGAAGAAGCCCCGGCUAACUCCGUGCCAGCAGCCGCGGUAAUACGGGGGGGGCAAGCGUUGUUCGGAAUUACUGGGCGUAAAGGGCUCGUAGGCGGCCAACUAAGUCGGACGUGAAAUCCCUCGGCUUAACCGGGGAACUGCGUCCGAUACUGGAUGGCUUGAGUGUGGGAGAGGGAUGCGGAAUUCCAGGUGUAGCGGUGAAAUGCGUAGAUAUCUGGAGGAACACCGGUGGCGAAGGCGGCAUCCUGGACCAUGACUGACGCUGAGGAGCGAAAGCCAGGGGAGCAAACGGGAUUAGAUACCCUGGUAGA
Molecule: ribosomal RNA, 464 nt
Filed under: uncultured bacterium
Lineage: Bacteria
Description: bacterial SSU rRNA
Rfam family: Bacterial small subunit ribosomal RNA
Source: RNAcentral